This is a long non-coding RNA of Papaver somniferum (opium poppy), 778 nucleotides long. RefSeq lists it as uncharacterized. NCBI's taxonomy places the organism in Eukaryota, Viridiplantae, Streptophyta, Magnoliopsida, Ranunculales, Papaveraceae. The transcript is spliced from 3 exons. The record is from RefSeq and is a predicted model, not a curated record.
CUCACUGAUUUCUACAUCAUAACUAUCCACCAAAGGGUACCACUGUAACUGAACUGUACAGAAGAAACCAGAUUGCGUUUUCUCUUUCGAUUUCUCUGUCUCAACUCUUCUCUAUUCGUCUGGAACACCUCCACCAUGAAACUUAACAAAGGAUACGGAAAUCUGAUGCUUAAUAUAAGAUUUCAAUCCUGCAACCAUUGUAAUUGUCGUCCAUUUCUUAUGUUGCGGAACAUGUGAUACCUUGGCAUCACAUUCAAACCCAGGUCUAGAAACCGAACGGCACUCGCAACAGGCUGUCUCUUGGAGUUGCUAUACUUGGACAAUUUUAAUAAUGUGACGCAGAAGUUUUCUUUUGUGAUUUUUCAUUGAUUGAGGCUGUGCCUCUUUGUAGCAGUGGUAGGCAAUAAAGUCAUAGCCCCAGAAUCACAGAGCAAGCUUGAGUACGAGGGUUGACAGAAACAUCAAGGGAGCAUAAUAGAGUACCAUAACUCCGUAAAUGUUCUAGAAUGCAGAAGCAAGCUCGAAUUCGGGAUAAUCUUGAUAUGAAAAAAUGUAAGGGAAGGAUAAUGUCACCAUGAAUUGGAACCACAUCAAAAGCUGAUCAGCUACAACAGUGGCAAAAUUUUGGGAGAACCAAAUAAAGCUGGAUGAAGAAGUUUACCUGUCUUAGAAAAAUACAAUAUAUCAUAAUACGUUUUUAUCAUGUAAAAAAAUGCAUACGAAUAAUUUUUUGGUGUAAAUGGAUAUUUUUAAUAGAAGAAUAUAAAGUUUGAUUUUA